GUCCACGCCGUAAACGAUGUCAACUAGCCGUUGGAACCUUUAAGGUUUUAGUGGUGCAGCUAACGCGAUAAGUUGACCGCCUGGGGAGUACGGUCGCAAGAUUAAAACUCAAAUGAAUUGACGGGGGCCCGCACAAGCGGUGGAGUAUGUGGUUUAAUUCGAUGCAACGCGAAGAACCUUACCUGGCCUUGACAUGUCCGGAACUUACCAGAGAUGGUUUGGUGCCUUCGGGAACCGGAACACAGGUGCUGCAUGGCUGUCGU
RNAcentral lists this ribosomal RNA (263 nucleotides) under uncultured bacterium. RNAcentral describes it as "partial 16S ribosomal RNA". It matches the Rfam family "Bacterial small subunit ribosomal RNA", at positions 793 to 1055 of the family's 1533-position model. The record is from RNAcentral.